Long non-coding RNA from Armigeres subalbatus, 388 nucleotides. RefSeq lists it as uncharacterized. The record is from RefSeq and is a predicted model, not a curated record. The transcript is spliced from 3 exons. NCBI's taxonomy places the organism in Eukaryota, Metazoa, Arthropoda, Insecta, Diptera, Culicidae.
GAAAUGAGUCUUCACUUUUUUCGGUACCUCCGUGCGAGAAGAUCGUCGCCGCCACAACGAGGCGAAAAGUUAUAAAAUCCCUUCGCGGGAAUCACAGUGCGCGGUUUGUGAGUGAUUUUCACCGGUGGUUUAAUUCGGGAACCGAAAUUCACCCGAAAUCGUUCACCGUGAGGUAAAUCCGGUUUCGAGACGCCGGCAACAAACGCACCAAAGGUCAGGAAAAAGUUCCAGAAUCACGCAGGAAGGUAGACGGUCCAAGAAAGCACGGCACCGAACGCAAGUUGACUUCAGUCAACGGGCCGCCAAUCGAAGGGCAAAAGAUCACCCGAAGGUCAGAACAAAACCACGGUUACAAUUCCGUCAGAACCAAAACACCCCGUUCGCUGGG